This 750-nucleotide ribosomal RNA is filed under the name uncultured Methanoculleus sp. RNAcentral describes it as "bacterial SSU rRNA". It matches the Rfam family "Archaeal small subunit ribosomal RNA", at positions 8 to 766 of the family's 1478-position model. The record is from RNAcentral. Lineage: Archaea; Methanobacteriati; Methanobacteriota; Methanomicrobia; Methanomicrobiales; Methanomicrobiaceae.
UUGAUCCUGCCGGAAGUCACUGCUAUCGGGGUUCGAUUAAGCCAUGCGAGUCGAGAGGGUUCGGCCCUCGGCGUACUGCUCAGUAACACGUGGAUAACCUGCCCUAAGGAAGGGGAUAACCCCGGGAAACUGGGGAUAAUACCCUAUAGGUUACAGAUGCUGGAAUGCUUUGUAACCCAAAGUUCCGACGCCUUAGGAUGGAUCUGCGGCCGAUUAGGUUGUUGUUGGGGUAACGGCCCAACAAGCCAGUAAUCGGUACGGGUUGUGGGAGCAAGAGCCCGGAGUUGGAUUCUGAGACACGAAUCCAGGCCCUACGGGGCGCAGCAGGCGCGAAAACUUUACAAUGCGGGCAACCGUGAUAAGGGAACCUCGAGUGCCUGUAUAUGCAGGCUGUCCAGGUGUCUAAAACACACCUGAAGAAAGGGCCGGGCAAGACCGGUGCCAGCCGCCGCGGUAAUACCGGCGGCUCGAGUGGUGGCCACUUUUAUUGGGCUUAAAGCGUUCGUAGCUGGGUUGUUAAGUCUCUUGGGAAAUCCGGCAGCUUAACUGUCGGGCGUCUAAGAGAUACUGGCAAUCUUGGAACCGGGAGAGGUGAGGGGUACUUCGGGGGUAGGAGUGAAAUCCUGUAAUCCUCGAGGGACCACCUGUGGCGAAGGCGCCUCACCAGAACGGCUUCGACAGUGAGGGACGAAAGCUGGGGGAGCAAACCGGAUUAGAUACCCGGGUAGUCCCAGCCGUAAACGAUGCGCG